AUUUCCCGCGGUAAUUCCAACGCCAAUAGCGUAUAUUAAAGUUGUUGCAGUUAAAAAGCUCGUACUUGAAUUUGGGAUCAAUAUUUCGGUCAUGCCGUUGGUAUGCACUGUUAUCAUUGAUUUCUCACCUUCUAAAGAACCGUAAUGCCAUUAAUUUGGUGUUACGGGGAAUUAGGACUGUUACCUUGAAAAAAUUAGAGUGUUUAAAGCAGGCUCACGCUUGAAUACAUUAGCAUGGAAUAAUGAAAUAGGACAUCCGAUUCUAUUUUGUUGGUUUCUAGGAUCGAUGUAAUGAUUAAUAGGGAUAGUUGGGGGCAUUAGUAUUCAAUUGUCAGAGG
Molecule: ribosomal RNA, 338 nt
Filed under: uncultured Funneliformis
Lineage: Eukaryota; Fungi; Glomeromycota; Glomeromycetes; Glomerales; Glomeraceae
Description: SSU rRNA
Rfam family: Eukaryotic small subunit ribosomal RNA
Source: RNAcentral